UUUUUUUUCUUUCGGUAACCAAACUCACUAAUAAUAAUUGAGUGAAAAAAACAACCCAAUUAUUCAUGGCCUAUUCUCUCUUCGAUUUUGUGUUUCGCCGAUUCUCUCUCUUUUCCACCUUCAUUUGAAUCAUGUCCAUUAAUCGAAGCUAUGGCUAGGUUUCCACUUCUACAGUGUCCAAUGGAGGAGGUGAUGGCGUGAUUUCAUUAAUCUUCACCUUUGAUCUCUGCUUCCUUGGCUUUCUUCGUUUGCCUGUUGGGUUUGAACCUGAAGUUCCCAAAAGGGCUACCAGUGGCAGGUGAAUGGGUCACUAUAUUUUGUUUGUUUUGAAAAAUUUCUCUGGGUUGCUGAUAACUUGGGUUCCGUUUAAUGGAUUCUUGAAGUUUUGUCUUGGGUCUCAGAUUUGUGGCCUUGUAACUUAACUGGUCAACACCUCUUCGUGUGCUCAUGACAUUCAAAUUCAAAUCCACCCUCCUCCUUUUAGUUUGAUCUUCUCUCAAUGGGUAUGGCAAUUUGAAGAGGGUGAAGAUAUAAAGGCUACUACGACUUUUCUUUCUAAGUGACAAUUGCAUAAUGGCUAUUGAGGCAAAAUCUUGGAGGAAAGCAGCGGAUUAUCAGAGCAUUGUCUUCUUGCAGUGACGUUCCCGUGGUGACAUUCACCUUCAUUUGGUGGCUUUGUGUUCCAUUGAUAACAACGUUCAUACAAUGAUGUUGCCUUCAUAUGAUGCCAUCUUCUUUGUGUAGCGAUGUUCUCACUAUGAUAUUUGCCUUCAUCUGGUCGCUAUGCAUUCCAUUAAUAGAAACAUUCU
Molecule: long non-coding RNA, 809 nt
Organism: Quercus robur (English oak)
Lineage: Eukaryota; Viridiplantae; Streptophyta; Magnoliopsida; Fagales; Fagaceae
Exons: 5
Source: RefSeq, a predicted model, not a curated record